Molecule: long non-coding RNA, 219 nt
Filed under: Panax ginseng (ginseng)
Lineage: Eukaryota; Viridiplantae; Streptophyta; Magnoliopsida; Apiales; Araliaceae
Description: long non-coding RNA (PGIN_LNC005055)
Source: RNAcentral
UGGAUGUGAUAAUAAUGAAUAUCUUUGGCCGUAGUGCAAAGAUGAUUUAAUGAUUACGAGCAGGAAUUGUGAUUUGGUAUAACCAUGAUUUUUGAUGUUUCAGGUGAAGACAGGUGAUGAAAAUUAUCUUCGUCCUGGGUACGAAGAGGAAUUUAGAAUCACAAUUGUGAUUAUGAGUUAUUCACAUGAUCGUGGACGGGAAUUGUUGAUUGAUGUUAC